RNAcentral lists this unclassified non-coding RNA (289 nucleotides) under plant metagenome. RNAcentral's name for it is "partial contains small subunit ribosomal RNA and internal transcribed spacer 1". The stretch from base 1 to 54 matches the Rfam family "Eukaryotic small subunit ribosomal RNA", at positions 1778 to 1831 of the family's 1831-position model. The record is from RNAcentral.
GGAAGUAAAAGUCCUAACAAGGUUUCCGUAGGUGAACCUGCGGAAGGAUCAUUAUCGUACAAAAUGUGAGGGGCAUGCGAGGGCUGUCGCUGACCCAAAAGUCGUGCACGCCCGAGUGUGUCCUCUUGCAUAAUAAUCCAUCUCACCCUUUGUGCAUCACCGCGUGGGCACCCUUCGGGAUCAUCUCGGAGGGGGGCUCGCGUUUUCACACAAACCCCCCUUUUAAAAGUGUAGAAUGACCGCAUUUAUGCAAUCAAUACAACUUUCAACAACGGAUCUCUUGGCCCUC